Long non-coding RNA from Suricata suricatta (meerkat), 404 nucleotides. RefSeq lists it as uncharacterized. The record is from RefSeq and is a predicted model, not a curated record. The transcript has 3 exons. NCBI's taxonomy places the organism in Eukaryota, Metazoa, Chordata, Mammalia, Carnivora, Herpestidae.
AUUUGAUUUGAUUCUCACAACAAUCCUAUGGGGGUUGCUGUGAAGCUACAAUGGGACAAUGAAUGUCAAGACUUUAGCAGAAUACCUGACAGAUCAUUCACUUCAGGGGAAGCCUGCUGCCAGGUCACCUAGCCCUGUGAAGAGGCCAGCACGGUGAGGAGCUGAGACCUGCCAAAAACCACAGGAAUGAUCUUGGAUGUGGAUCCUGCAGCCCCAGGUGAGUUUGGAAAAGACUGUAACCCUGGCUGUCAACUUCUCUGCAACCUCAUGAAAGACCCUGAGUCAAAAUGAUCCAGCAAGCUGCUCUCAGAUGCUCGAACCUCAGAAAUGGAUAAUCCAUGCCCUUACAACAGUGAACAGUGCCCAAUGCAUAUUACGCAUGCAAUAAAUAUUGGCUGUCUUUA